Molecule: ribosomal RNA, 483 nt
Filed under: uncultured bacterium
Lineage: Bacteria
Description: bacterial SSU rRNA
Rfam family: Bacterial small subunit ribosomal RNA
Source: RNAcentral
GACAAACGCUGGCGGCGUGCUUACCACAUGCAAGUCAAACGAGACAAUUGAAAGCUUGCUUUCAAAAGUCAAGGGGCAAACGGGUGAGUAACGCGUAAACAACCUGCCUUUGAGAUGGGGACAACAGUUCGAAAGGACUGCUAAUACCGAAUGUUGUAUAUUUUCCACAUGGAAAAUAUAUUAAAGAUGGCCUCUAUUUAUAAGCUAUCGCUCAAAGAUGGGUCUGCGUCUGAUUAGCUGGUUGGGGGGGUAACGGCCUACCAAGGCAACAAUCAGUAGCCGGUCUGAGAGGAUGAACGGCCACUUUGGGACUGAGACACGGCCCAAACUCCUACGGGAGGCAGCAGGGGGAAAUCUUCCACAAGGGACAAAAGUCUGAGGGAGCACCGCCGCGGGAAGGAUGAAGGAUUUAGGUCUGUAAACUCCUUUUAUAAGGAAAAAAAUUUGACGGUACCUUAUGAAUAACCACCGGCUAACUCCGUG